ACCAGCUUCUCAAANGGGGCGGCUGCACCCGUUCCCAUUCCGAACACGGCCGUGAAACGCCCCUGCGCCUAUGGUACUUCGUCUUAAGACGCGGGAGAGUCGGUCGCUGCCAGGU
RNAcentral lists this ribosomal RNA (115 nucleotides) under Rhizobium sp. S163. The record is from RNAcentral. Lineage: Bacteria; Pseudomonadati; Pseudomonadota; Alphaproteobacteria; Hyphomicrobiales; Rhizobiaceae.